UCCUACGGGGGGCUGCAGUAGGGAAUCUUCCGCAAUGGACGAAAGUCUGACGGAGCAACGCCGCGUGAGUGAUGAAGGUUUUCGGAUCGUAAAGCUCUGUUGUUAGGGAAGAACAAGUGCGAGAGUAACUGCUCGCACCUUGACGGUACCUAACCAGAAAGCCACGGCUAACUACGUGCCAGCAGCCGCGGUAAUACGUAGGUGGCAAGCGUUGUCCGGAAUUAUUGGGCGUAAAGGGCUCGCAGGCGGUUUCUUAAGUCUGAUGUGAAAGCCCCCGGCUCAACCGGGGAGGGUCAUUGGAAACUGGGAAACUUGAGUGCAGAAGAGGAGAGUGGAAUUCCACGUGUAGCGGUGAAAUGCGUAGAGAUGUGGAGGAACACCAGUGGCGAAGGCGACUCUCUGGUCUGUAACUGACGCU
Molecule: ribosomal RNA, 418 nt
Filed under: Bacillus sp. (in: firmicutes)
Lineage: Bacteria; Bacillati; Bacillota; Bacilli; Caryophanales; Bacillaceae
Description: bacterial SSU rRNA
Rfam family: Bacterial small subunit ribosomal RNA
Source: RNAcentral